GUCACCUAGGGAUCUUGUUAAAAUGCAGAUUCUGAUCCCAAGUCUGGCUGAGGAUAAUGUUUCUGCAUUUCUAACAAGUUCCCAGAUGAUGUUAG
This 95-nucleotide microRNA precursor is filed under the name Cricetulus griseus (Chinese hamster). RNAcentral describes it as "mir-544 microRNA precursor family". It matches the Rfam family "mir-544 microRNA precursor family". The record is from Rfam by way of RNAcentral. Lineage: Eukaryota; Metazoa; Chordata; Mammalia; Rodentia; Cricetidae.